GACGAACGCUGGCGGCGUGCUUAACACAUGCAAGUCAAACGGAAAGGCCCCUUCGGGGGUACUCGAGUGGCGAACGGGUGAGUAACACGUGAGUAACCUGCCCUUGACUUCGGGAUAACUUCAGGAAACUGGGGCUAAUACCGGAUAGGAAUCCUUGCUGCAUGGUGGGGGUUGGAAAGCUUCGGCGGUUUUGGAUGGACUCGCGGCUUAUCAGCUUGUUGGUGGGGUAGUGGCUUACCAAGGCUUUGACGGGUAGCCGGCCUGAGAGGGCGACCGGCCACAUUGGGACUGAGAUACGGCCCAGACUCCUACGGGAGGCAGCAGUGGGGAAUAUUGCACAAUGGGCGGAAGCCUGAUGCAGCAACGCCGCGUGCGGGAUGACGGCCUUCGGGUUGUAAACCGCUUUCAGCAGGGGCGAAGCUUGUGGUGACGGUACCUGCAGAAGAAGCACCGGCUAACUACGUG
RNAcentral lists this ribosomal RNA (465 nucleotides) under uncultured bacterium. RNAcentral's name for it is "partial 16S ribosomal RNA". It matches the Rfam family "Bacterial small subunit ribosomal RNA", at positions 28 to 507 of the family's 1533-position model. The record is from RNAcentral.